AAUAAGAGGUCCCGCCUGCCCUGUGACUAUAUGUUUAACGGCCGCGGUAUUUUGACCGUGCGAAGGUAGCGCAAUCACUUGUCUUUUAAAUGGAGACCUGUAUGAAUGGCAUAACGAGGGCUUGACUGUCUCCUUUUUCAGGUCAAUGAAGUUGAUCUCCCCGUGCAGAAGCGGGGAUGUAAACAUAAGACGAGAAGACCCUAUGGAGCUUUAGACACCAAGGCAGAUUAUGUUAAAGACCCCUGCUCAAAGGGCCAAACAGAAUAGACCCUGCCCUUAUGUCUUUGGUUGGGGCGACCGCGGGGAAAAACACAACCCCCAUGUGGACUGGGAACACCCGUCCUAGAACUAAGAGCUCCCGCUCUAGGUACCAGAAUUUCUGACCAAAUGGAUCCGGCAAAGCCGAUCAACGGACCGAGUUACCCUAGGGAUAACAGCGCAAUCCCCUUUUAGAGCCCAUAUCGACAAGGGGGUUUACGACCUCGAUGUUGGAUCAGGACAUCCUAAUGGUGCAGCCGCUAUUAAGGGUUCGUUUGUUCAACGAUUAAAGUCCU
Molecule: ribosomal RNA, 554 nt
Filed under: Semicossyphus pulcher
Lineage: Eukaryota; Metazoa; Chordata; Actinopteri; Labriformes; Labridae
Description: partial 16S ribosomal RNA
Rfam family: Bacterial large subunit ribosomal RNA
Source: RNAcentral